RNAcentral lists this unclassified non-coding RNA (235 nucleotides) under plant metagenome. Its description in RNAcentral is "partial contains small subunit ribosomal RNA, internal transcribed spacer 1, and 5.8S ribosomal RNA". The stretch from base 1 to 54 matches the Rfam family "Eukaryotic small subunit ribosomal RNA", at positions 1778 to 1831 of the family's 1831-position model. The record is from RNAcentral.
GGAAGUAAAAGUCGUAACAAGAUUUCCGUAGGUGAACCUGCGGAAGGAUCAUUCAUAAUAAGUGUUUUAUGGCACUUUUUUAAAUCCAUAUCCACCUUGUGUGCAAUGUCAGGGUUGAUUUUUCUCUCGAGAGGACCAGCCCCAAACAUCAACUAUAUCUCAACUCUUUGUCUGAAAAAUAUUAUGAAUAAAACAAUUCAAAAUACAACUUUCAACAACGGAUCUCUUGGCUCUC